AGGAGUAGGUGGAUGUAUUGGGGGAGGGAUCAGUGUCCAUCGAGUGAAGAGGUCUGAGCCCCCCGUGGCUGACCAGGUGGAGCUGAUGCGCCAGUGACGCUCGGCUGCCUCUCUGCAUGUCCAGGACUGGAAGUGGUGGUGACACCCGUGUCCUGGCCCCCUCCAGCGGCAUGAGGAGAUGAUCAUCCCUGGAGGACCCCCCUGAUCCCCUGGGUGCCCUGGCAAUUUCCCUGCAAGAAUCAAUAAACCCCUGCAGCAA
This is a long non-coding RNA of Pseudopipra pipra, 259 nucleotides long. RefSeq lists it as uncharacterized. The transcript has 4 exons. The record is from RefSeq and is a predicted model, not a curated record. Lineage: Eukaryota; Metazoa; Chordata; Aves; Passeriformes; Pipridae.